CAGAGAAUAGUUUAUUUAAAAUAUUAAUUUUGGAGGUUAAUGAUAGGAGUGUUUCUUUUCUCUGA
RNAcentral lists this transfer RNA (65 nucleotides) under Ignelater luminosus. RNAcentral's name for it is "tRNA-Pro". The record is from RNAcentral. Lineage: Eukaryota; Metazoa; Arthropoda; Insecta; Coleoptera; Elateridae.